RNAcentral lists this ribosomal RNA (393 nucleotides) under uncultured bacterium. RNAcentral describes it as "partial 16S ribosomal RNA". It matches the Rfam family "Bacterial small subunit ribosomal RNA", at positions 523 to 918 of the family's 1533-position model. The record is from RNAcentral.
AUACGGAGGAUCCGAGCGUUAUCCGGAUUUAUUGGGUUUAAAGGGAGCGUAGGUGGACAGUUAAGUCAGUUGUGAAAGUUUGCGGCUCAACCGUAAAAUUGCAGUUGAUACUGGCUGUCUUGAGUACAGUAGAGGUGGGCGGAAUUCGUGGUGUAGCGGUGGAAUGCUUAGAUAUCACGAAGAACUCCGAUUGCGAAGGCAGCUCACUGGACUGCAACUGACACUGAUGCUCGAAAGUGUGGGUAUCAAACAGGAUUAGAUACCCUGGUAGUCCACACAGUAAACGAUGAAUACUCGCUGUUUGCGAUAUACAGUAAGCGGCCAAGCGAAAGCAUUAAGUAUUCCACCUGGGGAGUACGCCGGCAACGGUGAAACUUAAAGGAAUUGACGGGG